UGGGGGAUAUUGCGCAAUGGGGGAAACCCUGACGCAGCAACGCCGCGUGAAGGAAGAAGGUCUUCGGAUUGUAAACUUUUGUCUUGUGGGAAGAAAAAUGACGGUACCACAGGAGGAAGCCACGGCUAACUACGUGCCAGCAGCCGCGGUAAUACGUAGGUGGCGAGCGUUGUCCGGAAUUACUGGGUGUAAAGGGUGCGUAGGCGGGAGAGCAAGUCAGGUGUGAAAACUAUGGGCUUAACCCAUAGCCUGCACUUGAAACUGCACUUCUUGAGUGAUGGAGAGGUAAGUGGAAUUCCUAGUGUAGCGGUGAAAUGCGUAGAUAUUAGGAGGAACACCAGUGGCGAAGGCGACUUACUGGACAUUAACUGACGCUGAGGCACGAAAGCAUGGGGAGCAAACA
RNAcentral lists this ribosomal RNA (403 nucleotides) under uncultured Eubacteriales bacterium. RNAcentral's name for it is "uncultured Clostridiales bacterium partial 16S ribosomal RNA". It matches the Rfam family "Bacterial small subunit ribosomal RNA", at positions 355 to 774 of the family's 1533-position model. Lineage: Bacteria; Bacillati; Bacillota; Clostridia; Eubacteriales. The record is from RNAcentral.